AGAGCGAACGCUGGCGGCAGGCUUAACACAUGCAAGUCGAGCGGGCGUAGCAAUACGUCAGCGGCAGACGGGUGAGUAACGCGUGGGAACAUACCUUUGGUUCGGAACAACACAGGGAAACUUGUGCUAAUACCGGAUAAGCCCUUACGGGGAAAGAUUUAUCGCCGAAAGAUUGGCCCGCGUCUGAUUAGCUAGUUGGUGAGGUAACGGCCCACCAAGGCGACGAUCAGUAGCUGGUCUGAGAGGAUGAUCAGCCACACUGGGACUGAGACACGGCCCAGACUCCUACGGGAGGCAGCAGUAGGGAAUCUUGCGCAAUGGGCGAAAGCCUGACGCAGCCAUGCCGCGUGAAUGAUGAAGGUCCUAGGAUUGUAAAAUUCUUUCAGCGGGGACGAUAAUGACGGUACCCGCAGAAGAAGCCCCGGCUAACUUCGUGCCAGCAGCCGC
RNAcentral lists this ribosomal RNA (447 nucleotides) under uncultured bacterium. RNAcentral describes it as "SSU rRNA". It matches the Rfam family "Bacterial small subunit ribosomal RNA", at positions 26 to 518 of the family's 1533-position model. The record is from RNAcentral.